This 177-nucleotide unclassified non-coding RNA is filed under the name uncultured fungus. RNAcentral describes it as "sequence contains ITS1, 5.8S rRNA gene". The record is from RNAcentral. Lineage: Eukaryota; Fungi.
UUAAUAGAUUUUGCUUGUUUUUCAGACGUGUACGACAACUACAGAGGGUUUGUUGUGUCCCGGUGGCAGGCGGACCUGCCGAGGAAACGGGGGUGCUCAAAAGGUGGCAAGGGUUCUAUUCCAACCGCGGCAGAGCCGCGCUUGAUAAUGAUCCUUCCGCAGGUUCACCUACGGAAA